UUCUUUGAGCAAAGGUGUCUAAACUCCCAUAAAGAGCAGGACACCGCGCCGCAAUGCUGCACCCGCAAGGGCGGGCAUUCAAGGGUGGCGGGGGAAACCCCACCGCCUUCCCGCAGAAGAAACGCUGCAAUUUGAAAAAAAGAAC
Molecule: non-coding RNA, 145 nt
Filed under: Faecalibacterium prausnitzii
Lineage: Bacteria; Bacillati; Bacillota; Clostridia; Eubacteriales; Oscillospiraceae
Description: MoCo sequence
Rfam family: Molybdenum/Tungsten riboswitch aptamer (Moco RNA motif)
Source: RNAcentral